UUGAUUUAUUUGUUUGUUUUACUCAGAAGAUACUGUAUAAAAUCAAGGGUUUGGGUCCUCUGGCGGGCUGCCGAAGCAGGCACCGCCGAGGCAACAAAUGGUAUGUUCACAGGGGUUUGGGAGUUGUAAACUCGGUAAUGAUCCCUCCGCUGGUUCACCAACGGAGA
Molecule: unclassified non-coding RNA, 167 nt
Filed under: uncultured fungus
Lineage: Eukaryota; Fungi
Description: sequence contains ITS1
Source: RNAcentral